CCCAGACUCCUACGGGAGGCAGCAGUGGGGAAUAUUGCACAAUGGGGGAAACCCUGAUGCAGCGACGCCGCGUGGAGGAAGAAGGUCUUCGGAUUGUAAACUCCUGUCCUUGGGGACGAUAAUGACGGUACCUGCAAAGGAAGCACCGGCUAACUCCGUGCCAGCAGCCGCGGUAAUACGGAGGGUGCGAGCGUUAAUCGGAAUUACUGGGCGUAAAGCGCUCGUAGGCGGUAUGUCAAGUCAAGGGUGAAAUCCCCGCGCUCAACGUGGGAACUGCCUUUGAAACUGGCAAACUGGAGUGUGUGAGAGGAUAGUGGAAUUCCAGGUGUAGGAGUGAAAUCCGUAGAUAUCUGGAGGAACAUCAGUGGCGAAGGCGACUAUCUGGCACAUAACUGACGCUGAGGAGCGAAAGCGUGGGUAGCAAACAGGAUUAGAUACCCUUGUA
Molecule: ribosomal RNA, 445 nt
Filed under: uncultured bacterium
Lineage: Bacteria
Description: bacterial SSU rRNA
Rfam family: Bacterial small subunit ribosomal RNA
Source: RNAcentral